This 267-nucleotide ribosomal RNA is filed under the name uncultured bacterium. RNAcentral describes it as "partial 16S ribosomal RNA". It matches the Rfam family "Bacterial small subunit ribosomal RNA", at positions 793 to 1055 of the family's 1533-position model. The record is from RNAcentral.
GUCCACGCUGUAAACGUUGGGUGCUAGGUGUCGCGGGUAUUGACCCCUGCGGUGCCGACGCUAACGCAUUUAGCACCCCGCCUGGGGAGUACGGUCGCAAGGCUAAAACUCAAAGGAAUUGACGGGGGCCCGGCACAAGCGGUGGAGCAUGUGGUUUAAUUCGAAGCAACGCGCAGAACCUUACCUGGACUUGACAUCUGGGGAACCGUCCUGGAAACAGGAGGGUGCCUUCGGGAGCCCCAACGACAGGUGAUGCAUGGCUGUCGU